RNAcentral lists this ribosomal RNA (484 nucleotides) under uncultured bacterium. RNAcentral describes it as "partial 16S ribosomal RNA". It matches the Rfam family "Bacterial small subunit ribosomal RNA", at positions 30 to 507 of the family's 1533-position model. The record is from RNAcentral.
AUUGAACGCUGGCGGCAGGCCUAACACAUGCAAGUCGAGCGGAUGAAGGGAGCUUGCUCCUGGAUUCAGCGGCGGACGGGCGAGUAAUGCCUAGGAAUCUGCCUGGUAGUGGGGGAUAACGUCCGGAAACGGGCGCUAAUACCGCAUACGUCCUGAGGGAGAAAGUGGGGGAUCUUCGGACCUCACGCUAUCAGAUGAGCCUAGGUCGGAUUAGCUAGUUGGUGGGGUAAAGGCCUACCAAGGCGACGAUCCGUAACUGGUCUGAGAGGAUGAUCAGUCACACUGGAACUGAGACACGGUCCAGACUCCUACGGGAGGCAGCAGUGGGGAAUAUUGGACAAUGGGCGAAAGCCUGAUCCAGCCAUGCCGCGUGUGUGAAGAAGGUCUUCGGAUUGUAAAGCACUUUAAGUUGGGAGGAAGGGCAGUAAGUUAAUACCUUGCUGUUCUGACGUUACCAACAGAAUAAGCACCGGCUAACUUCGUG